UGUAGAGACAAAAAGUUAUAGCAACACUUUAGAAGUUUCCCGUUUUCCCUCAUUUGUUGAAAACAGAGUUUCAACUGUUGUAAACAACCCUGCCAUAGCCUGCUUUAGCUAGCACUAACAACAAGCUAACACUAACGUGGCCUACACUGUAAAUUGCAUUUACCCCUUUUUGUUGUCCCAACGUUUGAUUUCGUGUUAAUAUAACAAGACUUUUGUAUUGUUGUUGUGAUAAAUUAGAAUAAUUAGUUAAACACAUCUCAACAACACUAAAAAUGUUAAACAAUAAUUUUAUGUCCAGUCAAAUAAAUUAUCCAAGUCUACUUGACUUUUGAGCAUUAAAAUGUAUGUCCACUGGGUGGCGGUAAGUGGCACAAAGUUUGUUUCGCAUGUGCCUAUGAUGACGGAAGAAGAAGUCCACGGAGUUUGGGCUCAGUCAAGCAGUCUCACGUGGGCAAUGUUCUGUCGGCUUGCUUCAGAAGGACUAACGACUCCAAUUAGGGUUAAAACCAACUACUUUGUCCAUCUAAAGGUGACACUGAACCAGUUCAACAGAGGCCCACCACUUUGGUAAGUUUUCUUUGGUUUUAUGUUGAAUGUGUUAGUUGUUAAAUAGCAUUAGCUCGAUUAGUCAUAGUGUAAUGAAUAAAUAAAAGGUCUGAACCUGAAAGUAAAUCGUGUAAUUCUAAGUUUAAUGUUGAAUGCAACUUAGUAUAUCUUAUAUUUGAACGUUAGAAGUAGGUAACUCGCUGUUUGUUGGUUAGCAUAGCAGGGUUGGCGGGGAAAUUGUUUUGGGAAAUGUUUACUCAGUAACACGUUAAUUAACCUUUUUCCCGAAAAUGUAUACUCAUAAAAUUAAGCUAAAUGCUAAAUGCUCAAAGCCGGGUCCACAUGGGCGCAUCUGUGGCGCGAAACAGCAGCGGAAUCUCGCAGCAUCUCAGCCGUUCUCCUCGCUAAACUCGCGCGAUCACAAUCCCACGAGACUUCGAAUGUCUCGGUUUGUUUAUGCCAUCCGCCAUUAAACCAAGAAGACAAUUUACAUCACGUUUAAGAUCUCUGUUUGAUGUCAUGUAUACUGCCGUGCCUCUCCACUACCAGGGUUAAAACCGUGAAAAACACUUGUCGAACCAUGCUGAGGGUAAAUCAGCCGUGAGGUUACACGCGUGGACAUCAUCUACAUCGAUAAUAAAUCGCAUCUAUGUAACAGACUUUUAUUUUGACACUACCGGUCAAUUUAGACUUAUGCUGUGUGUGUGUGAUUUCCAGUUUGCUCAGCUGACAUCUGUUGACCUAAGAAGUCUUUCUUCAGUGGACUGGAUCAGCAUUUGCCAAGGUUCCUGGAGCUAUUCAAGGCCAAGAGUGGGAAAUCAGCUGGACUAAGCAGGCAGCUUAAAUGUCUUGAUGACUCCUCUAUGCUGAGGAAGAGGUCAGUUGUUCUUCCGGUGCCUUCCGUAUUUUCUCAAGGAUGAUCCUUCAAAUGCAUUCAAGACUGUUCAGGCCAUUGACGAGGAAGCCACACUCACUCGGGGAAUGAAAAUUGGAGUUCUGCUGGUGAAAGAUGGAGAGGACAUCAUUGCCACAUCAGUCAUUCUUGAGGAACAAGUGGUCCUGCCUGAUGUGGAAGACAUUCCUCAUGCCAUUGCUCUACUGAUGGGUCUGCUUUUUGCCUUUAAUAUAGACUAUCCAAAGGAACUCAGGUACACAUUUGAAGUUUUUCAAAAGGUCCUGAUGAACAUCGGCGGAGGUCAGUGUUCCCUUGUGCAUGGUUUGAGAAACAGACUAUUACAAAAAACCAUGUAGAUUCUCCUGAAAUGUCUCAUCUCAUGACUCAUGGAUGUCUGAGCUUUUUGAAAGCACUCAACGUUUCCUGUUAAACAUUGUUCCAAAGGUCAUAUAGAAGUUUGGCACAUGGUUUGGAAUUCUUGUUUUGUUAUUUCAUCUGUUUAGGUUUAUUCCAUCAGAAAAUAUAGUCAUAUCAGUUCAAAGCCAAUCAAAUGCAUAGGUUGAUAAAAAGUAUUGCAAUAAAGAGGUCAACAUAAGACCAAACGAUAGAUGACAAGAUUAAAAUGUGCACUAUUUGUUUAGAACUACUAUUUUGAAUUGUAUCAUUUUGAAUUUUAUUUUAUUGUUUUUAUUUGUGCAAGGUU
This is a long non-coding RNA of Nothobranchius furzeri (turquoise killifish), 2144 nucleotides long. RefSeq lists it as uncharacterized. NCBI's taxonomy places the organism in Eukaryota, Metazoa, Chordata, Actinopteri, Cyprinodontiformes, Nothobranchiidae. The record is from RefSeq and is a predicted model, not a curated record.